CCAAGGAUUGUCCUACAAUCCCUGCUUUUCAAGAAGUGUUGCAUGAUCAAGCAAAUUUCACCAAUACUUAUAAAAGACCAUUUCCAGAAACAUAUAAUCCUAAUUGGCGAAACCAUCCUAACUUUAGCUGGAGACAUGGACCCACUGCCAAUGAAUCUCAAGGAAAUUCUGUUCCUACUCCUUAUGUGCCACCACAUAGGAAAUCCCUUGAAGAUACUUUGCAAACCUUCAUGCAAGGGCAGAC
Molecule: long non-coding RNA, 244 nt
Filed under: Phoenix dactylifera (date palm)
Lineage: Eukaryota; Viridiplantae; Streptophyta; Magnoliopsida; Arecales; Arecaceae
Description: long non-coding RNA (PDAC_LNC009142)
Source: RNAcentral